UGGGGAAUAUUGCACAAUGGGCGCAAGCCUGAUGCAGCCAUGCCGCGUGUAUGAAGAAGGCCUUCGGGUUGUAAAGCACUUUCAGCGGGGAGGAAGGCGUUAAGGUUAAUAACCUUGGCGAUUGACGUUACCCGCAGAAGAAGCACCGGCUAACUCCGUGCCAGCAGCCGCGGUAAUACGGAGGGUGCAAGCGUUAAUCGGAAUUACUGGGCGUAAAGCGCACGCAGGCGGUCUGUCAAGUCGGAUGUGAAAUCCCCGGGCUCAACCUGGGAACUGCCUUUGAAACUGGCAGGCUAGAGUCUUGUAGAGGGGGGUAGAAUUCCAGGUGUAGCCGUUAAAUGCGUAGAGAUCUGGGGGCAUACCGGUGGCGAAGGCGGCCCCCUGGACAAAGACUGACGCUCAGGUGCGAAAGCGUGGGGAGCAAACAGG
This 429-nucleotide ribosomal RNA is filed under the name Chloroflexota bacterium. Its description in RNAcentral is "Chloroflexi bacterium partial 16S ribosomal RNA". It matches the Rfam family "Bacterial small subunit ribosomal RNA", at positions 355 to 776 of the family's 1533-position model. Lineage: Bacteria; Bacillati; Chloroflexota. The record is from RNAcentral.